This 377-nucleotide ribosomal RNA is filed under the name uncultured eukaryote. RNAcentral describes it as "partial 18S ribosomal RNA". It matches the Rfam family "Eukaryotic small subunit ribosomal RNA", at positions 592 to 976 of the family's 1831-position model. The record is from RNAcentral.
CAAUAGCGUAUAUUAAAGUUGUUGCAGUUAAAAAGCUCGUAGUUGGAUUUCGGGGUGGCCUGCCUGGUCCACCGCAAGGUGAGUACUGGUCAGCCGCCCUUCCUCUCGAAAGCCCCGACUGCUCUUCAUUGCAGUGGUCGGGUAGUUCGGGACGUUUACUUUGAAAAAAUUAGAGUGUUCAAGGCAGGCCGUCGCCUGAAUACAUUAGCAUGGAAUAAUGGAAGAGGACCUCGGUCCUAUUUUGUUGGUUUCUAGGGCCGAAGUAAUGAUUAAGAGGGACAGUUGGGGGCAUUCGUAUUUAAUUGUCAGAGGUGAAAUUCUUGGAUUUAUGAAAGACGAACUUCUGCGAAAGCAUUUGUCAAGGAUGUUUUCAUUAA